UUGCAUGUCAGGAAAAAACCGAGGGAAAUUACCAAGGAAAGCCCCUCGGAUGUGCAAAAAGUGAGAGAAUCCCUGCUUUGUUCCUGCUGAGUUGACUGAAGCCUGCAAAAGUUGUGCAGUGCAGGCCUGCCAGGGGCUAAACCCCUCGGUUUUUGCAGGAAAUCCCUGGCUUUUUUAUGGCUGUUCUGCAACCUAGCUAUGCUAGGAUUUGACCAACAAAGCGAGGGGCUUGUCCCUCACAUAGGCCCUGGCUUUUUUCCAUCCCUAUAUAAGCCAUGCACCGGUCUCUUAGCAGCCUAAAAAACACUUAGAAAAAUUUCUUCUUUCUUCUCAUAAAACACAGCCCCUUC
This 350-nucleotide long non-coding RNA is filed under the name Medicago truncatula (barrel medic). RNAcentral's name for it is "lncRNA gene28406". The record is from RNAcentral. Lineage: Eukaryota; Viridiplantae; Streptophyta; Magnoliopsida; Fabales; Fabaceae.